This 503-nucleotide ribosomal RNA is filed under the name uncultured bacterium. RNAcentral's name for it is "partial 16S ribosomal RNA". It matches the Rfam family "Bacterial small subunit ribosomal RNA", at positions 30 to 523 of the family's 1533-position model. The record is from RNAcentral.
AUUGAACGCUGGCGGCAGGCUUAACACAUGCAAGUCGAGCGGGGUGAUGGUGCUUGCACUAUCACUUAGCGGCGGACGGGUGAGUAAUGCUUAGGAAUCUGCCUAUUAGUGGGGGACAACAUCUCGAAAGGGAUGCUAAUACCGCAUACGUUCUACGGGAGAAAGCAGGGGAUCACUUGUGACCUUGCGCUAAUAGAUGAGCCUAAGUCGGAUUAGCUAGUUGGUGGGGUAAAGGCCUACCAAGGCGACGAUCUGUAGCGGGUCUGAGAGGAUGAUCCGCCACACUGGGACUGAGACACGGCCCAGACUCCUACGGGAGGCAGCAGUGGGGAAUAUUGGACAAUGGGGGGAACCCUGAUCCAGCCAUGCCGCGUGUGUGAAGAAGGCCUUAUGGUUGUAAAGCACUUUAAGCGAGGAGGAGGCUCUUUUGGUUAAUACCCAAGGUGAGUGGACGUUACUCGCAGAAUAAGCACCGGCUAACUCUGUGCCAGCCGCCGCCGUAA